This 430-nucleotide long non-coding RNA is filed under the name Gossypium barbadense (sea-island cotton). RNAcentral describes it as "long non-coding RNA (GBAR_LNC012604)". Lineage: Eukaryota; Viridiplantae; Streptophyta; Magnoliopsida; Malvales; Malvaceae. The record is from RNAcentral.
UCACCUUCUAAUAAUCUCAUUACUUUACACGCAUCCUUGAAAAUUAGUUAAACAAGCCUAUUAAUGGUUCUAAUAUUUUCAAAAGAUGUUUCUCCUUUCACAAUGUUGAGCAAAACCUUAAGGUAAUAUCUAGCACUAGAUGACGGAUGAGCAUAAUACAACCUACCAAUACACCUCUUUUGCUUUCUUAGUCUCUAUUCUUUAUUCCUUUUGUCUCGCAUCCACUUUGAUGAAAAGUCAACAAAAUUUAAGUUACAUGUUGAAGGAUUCAAUUCAUUGGUUUGCAUCUACUUAGUGACGAUAGUCUUAUGUAAAUGAGGUAUAUCUAGUAUGUUACGGGUAUCCUAAUUACACCGAAUAUCACAGACAAUAAAUAAUUAAUACUACCACAAGAACUCCUACCACACGAGUAUGGUAUUAAAAUUUAAAG